AGUAGUUUGCCAUCUCAGUCUUUGCUCAGAGAUCGACAUCUUAGGCUGACUCAGAUCAGACUUUGAUCCCUCAUAUCUCUACUAUUUUUCUAGAUGCUCACAGCUCAGUCCGUACGACUUGAGAAGAUUGAGGGAUGUGUUCUGAGACUGACAGGCAAAGUUCUAGAUUUACAGAGGCAAGUAUUAGCCUUAGCCCAUCUCCAGCCAC
RNAcentral lists this long non-coding RNA (208 nucleotides) under Elaeis guineensis (African oil palm). RNAcentral describes it as "long non-coding RNA (EGUI_LNC040879)". The record is from RNAcentral. Lineage: Eukaryota; Viridiplantae; Streptophyta; Magnoliopsida; Arecales; Arecaceae.